This 505-nucleotide ribosomal RNA is filed under the name uncultured bacterium. Its description in RNAcentral is "partial 16S ribosomal RNA". The stretch from base 20 to 329 matches the Rfam family "Bacterial small subunit ribosomal RNA", at positions 47 to 358 of the family's 1533-position model. The record is from RNAcentral.
GACGAACGCUGGCGGCGUGCUUAACACAUGCAAGUCGAACGGAAAGGCCCUGCUUUUGUGGGGUGCUCGAGUGGCGAACGGGUGAGUAACACGUGAGUAACCUGCCCUUGACUUUGGGAUAACUUCAGGAAACUGGGGCUAAUACCGGAUAGGAGCUCCUGCUGCAUGGUGGGGGUUGGAAAGUUUCGGCGGUUGGGGAUGGACUCGCGGCUUAUCAGCUUGUUGGUGGGGUAGUGGCUUACCAAGGCUUUGACGGGUAGCCGGCCUGAGAGGGUGACCGGCAUGGGGGGACGUGAGAUGCGCGAAAGACACGAAGGGGAGGAAGGGGGGGGGAGUGUGGGAGGCGGGGGGGAAGCCGAAGGCAGGCGCGGGGCGGGGGGGGGGGCGGCGUUUGGGGUGACGGCGGCUUGAGGGAGAGAGAGAGCGUGAGUGAGGAUAGGGGUGAAAGAAGAACCGGCGAACCGACUCCCAGCAGCGUCAGACAAGGAAUGACAAAUGUGUGACA